GCAAGUCGAAUGGUAACAUGGCUAGCUUGCUAGCAGAUGACGAGCGGCGGACGGGUGAGUAACGCGUAGAUAUCUGCCUUGUAGUGGGGGAUAGCCCGGAGAAAUCCGAAUUAAUACCGCAUACGCCCUACGGGGGAAAGAAGGCCUCUUCUUGAAAGCUUUCACUAUUAGAUGAGUCUGCGUCGGAUUAGCUUGUUGGUGAGGUAAUGGCUCACCAAGGCGACGAUCCGUAGCUGGUCUGAGAGGACGAUC
Molecule: ribosomal RNA, 252 nt
Filed under: uncultured bacterium
Lineage: Bacteria
Description: partial 16S ribosomal RNA
Rfam family: Bacterial small subunit ribosomal RNA
Source: RNAcentral